UGUAAUUCCAGAAAAUUUUCAUUUGUAAGAAAAGAUGUGAGUGUUACAAAUGUCAAACUAACACAACAGUUAUAUGUAUGUGAUAGAGUAAUUAACCAGAAAACUCAGACAAAGAUUUUUUUUUUAUUCAAAUAGAUUAUCCAACAAUCAGUUCUCAACCCUUAAAUAUGCUUCAAACAUGCCCUGAGAAAUUUCUCCUAACCAUUCAUUCACCAUAAAA
RNAcentral lists this long non-coding RNA (220 nucleotides) under Medicago truncatula (barrel medic). Its description in RNAcentral is "lncRNA gene8726". The record is from RNAcentral. Lineage: Eukaryota; Viridiplantae; Streptophyta; Magnoliopsida; Fabales; Fabaceae.